Molecule: ribosomal RNA, 1299 nt
Filed under: metagenome
Description: bacterial SSU rRNA
Rfam family: Bacterial small subunit ribosomal RNA
Source: RNAcentral
AGGCCUUGCGCUGAUUGAGCGGCCGAUAUCAGAUUAGCUAGUUGGUGAGGUAAAGGCUCACCAAGGCGACGAUCUGUAGCGGGUCUGAGAGGAUGAUCCGCCACACUGGAACUGAGACACGGUCCAGACUCCUACGGGAGGCAGCAGUGGGGAAUUUUGGACAAUGGGGGCAACCCUGAUCCAGCCAUGCCGCGUGAGUGAAGAAGGCCUUCGGGUUGUAAAGCUCUUUCGGCCGGGAAGAAAUCGUAUGGGUUAAUACCCUGUGCGGAUGACGGUACCGGCAUAAGAGGCACCGGCUAACUACGUGCCAGCAGCCGCGGUAAUACGUAGGGUGCGAGCGUUAAUCGGAAUUACUGGGCGUAAAGCGUGCGCAGGCGGUUUUGUAAGACAGGCGUGAAAUCCCCGGGCUCAACCUGGGAACUGCGCUUGUGACUGCAAGGCUAGAGUAUGGCAGAGGGGGGUGGAAUUCCACGUGUAGCAGUGAAAUGCGUAGAGAUGUGGAGGAACACCAAUGGCGAAGGCAGCCCCCUGGGCCAAUACUGACGCUCAUGCACGAAAGCGUGGGUAGCAAACAGGAUUAGAUACCCUGGUAGUCCACGCCCUAAACGAUGUCAACUAGGUGUUGGGUGGGUAAAACCAUUUAGUACCGGAGCUAACGCGUGAAGUUGACCGCCUGGGGAGUACGGCCGCAAGGUUAAAACUCAAAGGAAUUGACGGGGACCCGCACAAGCGGUGGAUGAUGUGGAUUAAUUCGAUGCAACGCGAAAAACCUUACCUACCCUUGACAUGUCCAGGAGCCUGAAGAGAUUUGGGUGUGCCCGAAAGGGAACUGGAACACAGGUGCUGCAUGGCUGUCGUCAGCUCGUGUCGUGAGAUGUUGGGUUAAGUCCCGCAACGAGCGCAACCCUUGUCGUUAAUUGCCAUCAUUUAGUUGGGCACUUUAACGAGACUGCCGGUGACAAACCGGAGGAAGGUGGGGAUGACGUCAAGUCCUCAUGGCCCUUAUGGGUAGGGCUUCACACGUCAUACAAUGGUCGGUACAAAGGGUUGCCAACCCGCGAGGGGGAGCCAAUCCCAGAAAGCCGAUCGUAGUCCGGAUCGCAGGCUGCAACUCGCCUGCGUGAAGUCGGAAUCGCUAGUAAUCGUGGAUCAGCAUGUCACGGUGAAUACGUUCCCGGGUCUUGUACACACCGCCCGUCACACCAUGGGAGCGGGUUCCGCCAGAAGUAGGUAGCCUAACCGCAAGGGGGGCGCUUACCACGGCGGGGUUCGUGACUGGGGUGAAGUCGAAACAAGGUA